GCGGACCAUCGAAAGCAGGGCUCGGUGGAUUACUUUUCACAAUGUUUUUCAGGUCCUAGAUGCUUCUAAAUGGUAUAUAUUACACAACAUCAACUUUAUGCAGGUGUCAGAAAGAUUGGUAUGUAUGUUGAUGUGAUGUUAUCUUGUUGAAAUGUUUUUCAAUAUGCAGUUUUGUUUCGGUUGGCAUUAUCUUGUAUUCAGUGUGUUUUUCAGGUCCUAGAUGUUUCUAAAUGGUAUGUAUUACACAACAUCAAGUACAUGUAGGUGUCAAAAGGGUAGGUAUUGCAUGUGUUGUUUUCAAGUUAUCCCAGUUCUGCAAUUAUAUUGUUACAAGUUAAUGUUCCUUUGUGUACAAGUAUACUUUAUAAGUUAAACAAGAAACUGAUCCCAUUCCUAAAAACAUGGAUGCAAACUAAUUAUCUAUCUGCCCUGGUAGCUGUUUACCAUUUUCAUUCUCUGUGAGUUUGCACCCCUGUGAUAGGCACUUUACUGCUUUGUAUUAACAAAAUCACAUGGGGCUUUCUUUGGGUGUCUUUUCGCCAUGAUCAGAGUAAUAAAACCUUUUUCUUUUGCAGGUACUUGUCGGUCAUCGGGUCAAUAACGACGUGUGAUGCUGAUGAUUCCUGAACUGCUUGGAGCUCCUAUUUAAUUCAAUCAGAGCAUCAGGCGGCUGGAAUAACAAUAACAAUCCAGUUCCAGGCCAUCUUCCGCCGGCUGAUGGUUCGGUGUGGUGUCUCACCUGGUGAGACAGGCAAUGUGGCAGCCCAGGAUAACACUGUCCCUGUCUGCAGUGGAGAUGUCCUCUCCUGAAACUGCUGAAGAGCACCCAUCUCCAUUCGCCAACAUUUGGCCCUUGUGUGUGACCACAGUUAUCUCCCCACUCGGUUUGGUGGUCUGGUGGCAAAUGCUCAGGUCUACAUAGCAGGGUUUGUAGUCCGGCAGAUUCUACGAAAACUGUCCUGUGAUGUGUGCUGUGCGAGCUUGGUCAGAGAUGCUGUACCAUCUUCAUUUGACAAGAGCUACCACCUUCUAACCCGGAAAAACGGCGGCCUAGUUUUUCCAUCACAAGGCACAGUGAUGAUUUUAUUCUUUUAAUCUUUGUAUAUUAAGGUUGCUUUGUUCUUAUUUUCUCUGUUUUGUAAAGUGUCUUUGAGCACUGUGUAAAGCGCCAUAUAAAUAUAAUGUAUUUUAUAAUUUUUAUUAUUUUAAUAAGGUGUUGAGAGCUGCAG
Long non-coding RNA from Esox lucius (northern pike), 1229 nucleotides. RefSeq lists it as uncharacterized. The record is from RefSeq and is a predicted model, not a curated record. The transcript is spliced from 3 exons. NCBI's taxonomy places the organism in Eukaryota, Metazoa, Chordata, Actinopteri, Esociformes, Esocidae.